GCUCCCCUCCACUUUAACAUGGAAAUGCUCUCUGUGACCUAAGCAGUAAGUGCUUCCAUGUUUUAGUAGAGGU
This is a microRNA precursor of Myotis lucifugus (little brown bat), 73 nucleotides long. Ensembl annotates it as microRNA 302b. Its record names the gene MIR302B. Lineage: Eukaryota; Metazoa; Chordata; Mammalia; Chiroptera; Vespertilionidae. The record is from Ensembl.